This 475-nucleotide ribosomal RNA is filed under the name uncultured organism. RNAcentral describes it as "partial 16S ribosomal RNA". It matches the Rfam family "Bacterial small subunit ribosomal RNA", at positions 334 to 800 of the family's 1533-position model. The record is from RNAcentral.
CACUCCUACGGGAGGCAGCAGUGGGGAAUUUUGGACAAUGGGCGAAAGCCUGAUCCAGCAAUGCCGCGUGAGUGAAGAAGGCCUUCGGGUUGUAAAGCUCUUUUGUCAGGGAAGAAACGGUGAGAGCUAAUAUCUUUUGCUAAUGACGGUACCUGAAGAAUAAGCACCGGCUAACUACGUGCCAGCAGCCGCGGUAAUACGUAGGGUGCAAGCGUUAAUCGGAAUUACUGGGCGUAAAGCGUGCGCAGGCGGUUUUGUAAGUCUGAUGUGAAAUCCCCGGGCUCAACCUGGGAAUUGCAUUGGAGACUGCAAGGCUAGAAUCUGGCAGAGGGGGGUAGAAUUCCACGUGUAGCAGUGAAAUGCGUAGAUAUGUGGAGGAACACCGAUGGCGAAGGCAGCCCCCUGGGUCAAGAUUGACGCUCAUGCACGAAAGCGUGGGGAGCAAACAGGGUUAGAAACCCGAGUAGUCCCAUGA